Molecule: ribosomal RNA, 909 nt
Filed under: Penicillium restrictum
Lineage: Eukaryota; Fungi; Ascomycota; Eurotiomycetes; Eurotiales; Aspergillaceae
Description: LSU rRNA
Rfam family: Eukaryotic large subunit ribosomal RNA
Source: RNAcentral
GCAUAUCAAUAAGCGGAGGAAAAGAAACCAACAGGGAUUGCCCCAGUAACGGCGAGUGAAGCGGCAAGAGCUCAAAUUUGAAAGCUGGCCCCCUCGGGGUCCGCAUUGUAAUUUGCAGAGGAUGCUUCGGGAGUGGCCCCCAUCUAAGUGCUCUGGAACGGGCCGUCAUAGAGGGUGAGAAUCCCGUAUGGGAUGGGGUGUCCGCGACCAUGUGAAGCUCCUUCAACGAGUCGAGUUGUUUGGGAAUGCAGCUCUAAAUGGGUGGUAAAUUUCAUCUAAAGCUAAAUAUUGGCCGGAGACCGAUAGCGCACAAGUAGAGUGAUCGAAAGAUGAAAAGCACUUUGAAAAGAGAGUUAAAAAGCACGUGAAAUUGUUGAAAGGGAAGCGCUUGCGACCAGACUCGCCUGCGGGGUUCAGCCGGUAUUCGUACCGGUGUACUUCCCCGUGGGCGGGCCAGCGUCGGUUUGGGCGGCCGGUCAAAGGCCCUCGGAAUGUAACGCCUCUCGGGGCGUCUUAUAGCCGAGGGUGCCAUGCGGCCAGCCCGGACCGAGGAACGCGCUUCGGCACGGACGCUGGCAUAAUGGUCGUAAGCGACCCGUCUUGAAACACGGACCAAGGAGUCUAACAUCUACGCGAGUGUUCGGGUGUCAAACCCGUGCGCGCAGUGAAAGCGAACGGAGGUGGGAACCCUCACGGGUGCACCAUCGACCGAUCCUGAUGUCUUCGGAUGGAUUUGAGUAAGAGCGUAGCUGUUGGGACCCGAAAGAUGGUGAACUAUGCCUGAAUAGGGCGAAGCCAGAGGAAACUCUGGUGGAGGCUCGCAGCGGUUCUGACGUGCAAAUCGAUCGUCAAAUUUGGGUAUAGGGGCGAAAGACUAAUCGAACCAUCUAGUAGCUGGUUCCUGCCGAU